GGCGACAUAGCCAAGUGGUAAGGCGCGGGUCUGCAACACCCUUAUCCCCAGUUCAAAUCUGGGUGUCGCCUCCA
RNAcentral lists this transfer RNA (74 nucleotides) under Tissierellia bacterium. RNAcentral's name for it is "tRNA-Cys". It matches the Rfam family "tRNA". From Rfam's summary of the family: Transfer RNA (tRNA) molecules are approximately 80 nucleotides in length. Their secondary structure includes four short double-helical elements and three loops (D, anti-codon, and T loops). Lineage: Bacteria; Bacillati; Bacillota; Tissierellia. The record is from RNAcentral.